GUAGAUCAAUUUCUCUUAGAGAAAGGAAGGAAAUAUAUUAAAUUUCAAGUGCAAAGAACAUUUCUCAGUUUCUAUGUCUGGUGAACUCAAAAACUUACCACAUAGAUUCAAUCAAAUUACCAUUUGAUUCCUACAGUUGGCUGAUGAUCAGAACACUUUAAAAUACUUAUUUUAGACCCACUAUAUAGCAUCUAAAAGUGAGGUCCCAGAAAUUUGCUUUUCUUUCUUUCUUUCUUUCUUUCUUUCUUUCUUUCUUUCUUUCUUUCUUUCUUUCUUUUUCUUUCUUUCUUCUCUCUCUCUCUCUCUUCUCUCUCUCUCUCUCUCCUUUUCUUUGAUAGUGUGGAUCAAACCUAGGACUUUUGCACUGACCCACUCUCCAGCCCGUUUAUUUUUUAGGCUGGGCUUGAGCUCCUCCUACCCCAGGCUGCUAAACUGCUGGGAUUACAGGUGUGGGCAAUUACAGCUGGUCAGAAUCUGCAUUUUAAAAAGGCUAUUGAGGUGUUAGAGAUAUUCUGUUAGAAUUAAGCUCUACUGCCAUGAAACGAACAGGAAUUUACAGACCCCCAGCCUGCUCCUGCAAUGGUUUGGUAAUAAUGACCUUGAUGUGGGCCAUUUCCUAUUGAUCAAUGAUCCAGCUGGAAGAGGUUGUCUCUAGGAUCUUUCUAUUCAGGCUGCCGGUAAUGACCGGACUAAACACAGCCUGCAGUUCAGAUGUGUGCAGUUUUCCUCUGCAAGCAGUGUGCACGCUCAGGUUAUCUUAACUGCAUUCCUUUUCCAGUUCUUCUCUCAAGUGCCGCAGUUACUCCAAAAGAGAGCAAACAAACCGGAAGUUCAAAGUGUGCGUCUCUGCUGGCAUAAAGAGAAAGGAAGAAGGGGCAGGCGAGAAGCUUCAGGUGUUAGGUGGAUCUUGCUGAAAUUUUCUAUUUGUUUAGCAUCGAUUUCUACCAGGCUGCGUGAGCCAGGUGUGCGAUCCACAAUACGCCUACUCCACAGCCAUUCUCAGCGGCCAUGCUGGUACAAUGCCCCUUCUGAUCUGCCCCGCACGGUGUGGUUGCCAAGACUUUGGUCCUCCCCUGCGACAACUUCAGUCCUUCCGGCCUUCACCCAGACCCUGAGAAGUGGCCCCACAUUCCUGGUAACCCGACUCCCGAGACUGGCGGGGCGGGGCGGGUGCACGGAAGCCACGUGACUGCGCCCCGCGCACCGGGUGCAGAGACCCGGGGGACAGGUGAGCCCAGGGCACCGCGUGGACUCUGCAUCUUAAAACACACGCAUGAAAAGGGUGCUUGCUUCGCCUCCGACACCUACCGCUUUGAUCAUCACAAAUGAAAAGGCACGGCUGGCCGUGGGGUUUUAUGGCGUGAACUGGGCCGGGAGACAAAGGCGGCGCGAUCUCCGUCCUGGGCGGAGCGGGUUUUAUGGGCGCAGCGCGCAAGUCUGAACUGGGGCUUCCCGGGGAGGGCGGAGCCGGCCUGCAGGCCCCGCUCCUGCCCCUCCGUCGGUCCGAGCCGGGUCCCCGCUGCUCCUGACAGCUUGCUUCUUUGAUCUGUGAAAUGGGGAAAAUAAGGCACACUUUGAUAUACUUUAAAGGGCGCAGGGAUUUGCUGUGCUCUUCCCCAAGUAAAGGCGGGUAGAGAUUUCUUUCCGAACAGGAGGCAACAUGCUGUCACAUGUCAUCUAAUGAGCUCAGCCUCCUCUUCCAGCGCCCAUUAAUCAAUCAGCCAACACUUGUAAAGCAUCUGUAUGAAUCCUGUGUGCAGCGGGGAAGGGAGGGCAUGGUCUCUGCUCCCGAGGUAUUUAUUGUCUGGCCGGGCAGAUGAUGGAAUGAGUACGUGAGUGUGAGCCAUGAUAAUAGCUAACAUUUACAGAGCACUUCCCGUGUGCCAGGCUCCUGGUGGUACUUUGCUUUAUACCUUGUAACACUUCAUCAAGUAGGCACUGUAUUAUCAUCUCCAUUUUACAGGCACUUUAGAGCAAUCGCCUGCCCGGGUCACACCGUGUGCAGCAUUAGACUGUGGCUGCCAGCCGACAGACUGGAGGGGAGCU
Molecule: long non-coding RNA, 2046 nt
Filed under: Cavia porcellus (domestic guinea pig)
Lineage: Eukaryota; Metazoa; Chordata; Mammalia; Rodentia; Caviidae
Description: lncRNA (ENSCPOG00000034637.1)
Source: RNAcentral